UGCGGUAGAAUGUGCCUGCCAUGGGGCUUUUAACAGUAGGAAGCGAUGACUUGGCAGGAGUAGGUGGGGAUGGAGGAGGCAGGGAGGCUGGAGUAGAAGGUGCUGGUGAGGCAGCAGGUGCAGGAGGAGGAGCCAUUGAUUGCACAAAAGAUGGUUGGUUUGGCUGCUGCAUCAUAACAUAAGGUGCAGGGGAUUGGGGUUGAGGUAAAGCUUCCUUUUUUCGAAU
This 226-nucleotide long non-coding RNA is filed under the name Eutrema salsugineum. RNAcentral describes it as "long non-coding RNA (ESAL_LNC001117)". Lineage: Eukaryota; Viridiplantae; Streptophyta; Magnoliopsida; Brassicales; Brassicaceae. The record is from RNAcentral.